CGGAGAGUGUGAUGAAUUAAAAGUCAUCUUUAAACAUUUAGUAUAAAGUAGACAAUCUAAAAUUAGAAAUAUGUUAUUUUUUAGCUCACUACGAAUAUCAUGGUUUUGUAAAUAAUAAAUCAUGACUCCUUGUAAAAAGGAGAACUUCAGCUAUCAUGCAAUAUCAGUCACUAGUCAAUAUUCAUUGCAAAUAAGACAAAAUGUUUUGGAG
Pelobates cultripes (western spadefoot toad) is the source of this 211-nucleotide non-coding RNA. The record is from the annotation of a GenBank genome assembly. NCBI's taxonomy places the organism in Eukaryota, Metazoa, Chordata, Amphibia, Anura, Pelobatidae.